GGGAUUAGAUACCCCACUAUGCUUGGUAGUAAACCUUAAAUUACACCCCAAUCGCCUGGGAACUACGAGCAAAGCUUAAAACCCAAAGGACUUGACGGUACCCCAAAUCCACCUAGAGGAGCCUGUCCUAUAAUCGAUAAUCCACGCUUUACCUCACCACCUCUAGCUAAACAGCCUGUAUACCUCCGUCGUCAGCUUACCUCGUGAGCGAAAUAUAGUGAGCUUAAUGCUACUUCAUCAACACGUCAGGUCAAGGUGCAACUAAUGAGAUGGAAAGAGAUGGGCUACACUCCCUAACCUAGGAUACACGAAAAACUACCUAUGAAAUCUAGUUUGAAGGCGGAUUUAGAAGUAAAAAGAAACUAGAAUAUUCUUUUUAACUUGGCACUGGGGUGUGUACACACCGCCCGUCACCCUC
RNAcentral lists this ribosomal RNA (418 nucleotides) under Adenomera andreae (lowland tropical bullfrog). Its description in RNAcentral is "partial 12S ribosomal RNA". It matches the Rfam family "Bacterial small subunit ribosomal RNA", at positions 774 to 1404 of the family's 1533-position model. Lineage: Eukaryota; Metazoa; Chordata; Amphibia; Anura; Leptodactylidae. The record is from RNAcentral.